This 452-nucleotide unclassified non-coding RNA is filed under the name Hevea brasiliensis (rubber tree). The record is from RNAcentral. Lineage: Eukaryota; Viridiplantae; Streptophyta; Magnoliopsida; Malpighiales; Euphorbiaceae.
UAUGCCUUCCGGAAUAUCACCAGUGAGGUUGUUUGCCCACAUGACCAAGUCAGAAAGAUUUGGCAAGGUCCAAAUCUCUGAAGGAAUCUGACCAAUCAGAUUGUUGAAACUAAGAUCAAUUCUUUCUUCUCAGGUUUUUGCAGCUUCCAAGCUCUGAGGGCACUUUCCCUGACAGGUAAUUGUUGGCCAGAAGUAACUUCUGCAAUUUAGAGGGGUUAGAGGAGGUGCAGAACUCAGAAGGAACAUUCCCCGUAAAUGCAUUGGAACUAAGGUCAAGCUCUAGCAGCUGAGAACAAUUUGUCAGAGACAAGGGCACAGGACCAGUUAUGUUGUUGAAUGGUACGUAGAGAUAUUUCAGACUUUGAAGCCUACUGACAAUAGUAGGGAGGAAAUCACCUGAAAGGAAAUUGUGUCCGAGGUUUAGUCUCUGCAGAGAAGAACAUGAUACAAAA